AGAGGGGGUGUGAAAUUACUUUCCCGAAACAACCCCACAGUUGAAGCUGAAGCUACAAACGAAGCCUUUUGGGCCAGAAAACGGAUCUCUUCGUUCAAAAACCUCGAAGAAGCUUCCAAUCCCUCUCGCUCCUCCCCGUCCCUUCUCUCUCAUCAAACUUCCAAAACCCAAUUCGAAAGGGGAGACAGACAUGGCUUCCGCGAGCAACCGUCACACAAACCCUCACCGCCUCUCUCUUCACCAUUCUCCCCAAAUCCCCAACCCUAACCCUAACCCUAACCCCAACCUCACCACCACCGACAGCAAAAACCCCACCCCUCUCCGCCUCCGCUCCGACUCGCCCCAGACGGCGGAGCCAAUCAACAACAUCAAUAACGACAACAACCACGCGUCGUCUUCUGCGAUGGCGCUCGACGGGUCCGACUCGGACUCGGCCGUACUGUCCCGGUCCGAGUUCCUGACCCGGCAGGAGGUCCUAUCGCGCCGGUCGCGCCGGCUCAAGCGACUGGCGAAGGUGUACAGGGAGCAUUACUGGUCCAUGAUGGAGGAUGUCAAGGUCAAGUUCAGGGAGUACUACUGGGAGUAUGGGAAGAGCCCGUUUCAGGAGGGCGAGAUUCUCGACCGCGGGGAGGUUAACCAAGGGAAUGGGAAAUUAGGGUUAGGGUCGGGGGCGAAUGGGAGUAGUGCGGGUCGGUGUGAGGUGCACGGGUGCAAGGUGAAGGCGAUGGCGUUGACUAAGUUUUGUCACUCGCAUAUAUUGUCGGAUGCCAAGCAGAAGCUGUACAAGGGGUGCAGUUACGCGACCAAGAGUUCAGCAACGGGACCUACUCUUUGUAUGAAACCUAUACUAAGAUCCACUGUUCCUUCUCUCUGCCCUCUUCAUUUAGAAAAGGCUGAAAAGCAUGUUACAAGGGCCUUGAGGAAAGCCGGUCUUAAUGUCACUUCUACGAGCAAGCUUGCUCCCAAGUUUCAUGUGGUCGUUGCAGAAUAUGUUCGUCAAAUCCAGUCUAAAAGGAGAGCUGCACAGAAGGCACUUGGUGUUUCAAUUGAAAGCAAAGAGGGCAAUACCAUGUAAUGCUUUGGAUACUUUAGUAAAGUUCCCAUUAAGCUGGUGCACAGAUGUAUCUGAGGAUCUUGGACGACAUUAUACUGGUGAUUUAAUGUUGCAAGAAUCAGAUUCAGACGGAUCGUGGACUUCUGCCUUCAAAGACAUAAAGUUCUGCUUUUGGAAGGUGUUGGAAGCAGGGAUGAUUGCUCUGUAAGCUGGUAGGGUAGCAUUAUAUGUAGCAUUAAAGCCAAAUCAUAGGGGAGUGGUGUGCAUGAAAAGUCAUUGCACUUGCAGACUCCUUGGAAUAUACCAUUUGAAUGACAAACCAGAAUUCUAACUCUAAACCAAUGAUAUAGUUUGAUAGUCUUGUUCGUAUUGCAUAUGUGCCUUUGUCGGGGGUUCUUUUUGGUUGACUGCUACUAUAACUAGUCAUGGAAUCAAUUAGGUUUUCAUUGUCGAGGAAUCGUGUAUCGGUAAAAUACGUGUUCCUAUAUGUUCAUAUAUGUAGCAUAGGCUGCAUAGCAUUGUAUUUUUCUUUCUUCAUCUAUUCAAAAGUUCAAAUUCGCUUCUCUCA
Molecule: RNA transcript, 1622 nt
Organism: Rhododendron vialii
Lineage: Eukaryota; Viridiplantae; Streptophyta; Magnoliopsida; Ericales; Ericaceae
Exons: 3
Source: RefSeq, a predicted model, not a curated record